This 389-nucleotide long non-coding RNA is filed under the name Homo sapiens (human). Its description in RNAcentral is "HSALNT0308529". Lineage: Eukaryota; Metazoa; Chordata; Mammalia; Primates; Hominidae. The record is from RNAcentral.
CUUUAUCAAGAUGCACGUGAACUUCAGCUUUAGGAUGGGUGCUUUAUUGAGAGGGCAAGAUGGAGGAAGAGAAGGCUGUUGUGAAUCACUUAAUUAUGGAAAGACAGGGAGUGCUGACUUCAAUACGCUUCUGUUUCUUCUACAUAAACUCUCAUAAUCAUGGAGGAGGAAGGAUGGUCAGAAAAUGUAGCAUUAGUGAUUUGCUGAUUGUUCUAGCAUAACAAUUCUCAAAUAUUUUUAUCCUAUAAUCUUACCUUUGUACCUUAAACCAGUGUUUCUAAACUGUGUAAAGAUGGACCAAUUUUUUUAAAUUUCCAAUCCAUUGCAGACCAAUGCCUUUGUAAAAUACAGUUAAAAUGAAUUACUAGAAAAGCAAAAUGUUUAAAGCC